CUAACCUUUUGUUUUAUAAUAAUAAUUAACAUUUUAUCACUUUGGGUAAAAUAUAGAGACUUUUGAACCUUAUAGCUUCCUUUAUUCUUCACCAUUUAUGUUACAAUUUUCACAUGUAUUAAUCUAUAUACAUUGAAAACCCUACCAGACAAUGUUAUAGUUUCUACUUUUGACAGUCAUGCAUAUUUUAAAAACACUUAAAAGGGGAAAAUUAUCUAUUAUACAUUUUUAUCAUAAACAUAACCUGAUUUAAAUCGCACAACCUGAAAUUCAUUGUUUCCUUUCUUUCUGUUUCCCCUUCCUACUUUCUAAGAUUUGUGGAAACACUGAGCUCAACCUGUCGUUACUCAAAUCUUUACUAUUUUUGUUUCCUAUUUUAUGCAACAUCCAAGUUAAAUAGCCUCUCUCUUAUGACACUGUUGAUGGGAAUGUAAAUUGGUGCAGUCUCUUUUGAGGACAAUUUAACUCUGCUUAUCCUAUUUGUAAAAUGCAUAGUCCUUUUGAUCCAGCAAUUCUAAUUCUAUGAAUUUAUCUUACAGGUAUGCUAUGGUCUGAAUGUUUGUGUCUCCUCAAAAUUCAUGUGGUAAAAUCUGAAUCCCCAAAGUGAUGGUAGUAGCAGGUGGGGCCUUUGGGAGGUGAUUAUGUAAUGAGAAUGGAGCCCUCAAGAAUGGAAUUAAUGUUCUUAUGGAAAGAACUCAUAAGAGAACUCUUGCCGCACCAUGUGAAGACACAGCAAAGGUUUUGGUAUGCCAUCCUGAGAGGAAAAUGUCUCAAACAUCCUUUGCUACUCUAAGUGUGAUUCCUGGACAAGAAAUACCAGCAUUACCUCGGAACUUGUUAGAAAUGCAAAAUAUCAGGCCCAAAUCCAGAGGUAAGGAGUUACCACCUGCAGUAUAACAAGACACCCAGGUGAUUCUAUGGAUCUAAAGACUGAGAAUUGUUGUUUUAAGCUAGAGUGAACAGGAGUGUAUAGUUUGAAAAUGCUUUUUUAUAGUUAUUUACAUGUUUUUUGAAAACAGCAUUACUGAGCUAUAUUUCACAUACCAAACAAUUCACCCACUUAAAGUGUGUUAUUCAGUGGUUUUUAAUAUAUUCAGAGUUGUGCAAUCAUCACCACAGUCCAUUUUAGAACACUUUCAUCUCCCCAACAAGAAAUCCAAUAGCCACAGCUGUUAUUCUCCAUUUCCCCUUCAUCCCUAGGAAACUGCUAAUUUACUUUCUGUCUCUAUGGAUUUGCCUGUCCAAGACAUUCCAUCCAUAUAAAUGGAAUCAUACAAUAUGUGGUGUUUUGUG
RNAcentral lists this long non-coding RNA (1293 nucleotides) under Homo sapiens (human). RNAcentral describes it as "HSALNT0141316". Lineage: Eukaryota; Metazoa; Chordata; Mammalia; Primates; Hominidae. The record is from RNAcentral.